UUUAUUUCAGGUCAUGGGACCAACACUUUACAUGUUGCGUUCAUAUUUUUUUUCAGUGUAUUUUGUCAGCUCUUUCAACCCUGUCAGGGGGCUGGUCAGAGCUAUUACAUUUUUAUAUUUAUCCAUUAAAAGCAAAGGGGUCGAGUCUCUGGGGAAACAAUUAUCUUUAUGACAUUUCCUCUCUGCUGUGUCCAGGCAAAUGUUAUGUGCAAUUUAUGACACCACCUAUUUCAAUAUGAACAAUUCACUUGUCUCGAUCAUUGGCACCAUUACUGCUGAAUAAUUACAGUCAAAUCUCUGUACACUGACUGGCCUCACACCGUUCUCUUUUUUGACGCCUGCGGCCUCUUGCUGAUGACGUUUUAUUUAGGGGACGAAAGUUAGCUAGAAUCGAUAGCUAGCUACAACGCUUCAAAAUGUAUAUAUUAAUGUUUUACGCAUUGUAGCUUUGGUUUAAAGUCCCAAUCCCGCGUAGACUUCAAGUAUCGUUUCGAUCAUUUGCAGUGAAAUGUUGGUGACGUUAACUAAUUGAAUUAAUCUAAUCAUUUACAGAGAUAGCUUGUAGGAAAUGAUUAGCUAGCGAGCUUGUUUUGUUGCUAGCAAGAGUAAUGGGAACAACAAUGGGAAAAGGGGAUACCUAGCCAGUUGCACAACAAUGUAUUGAAAUGUGUCUUCCGCAUAAUAUGGUAGUAAUGUAACUAGUUAGUGAUCCAGCUUAGCUAGCUAUGCUGACAUUGUUUUUUGAGUUGCCAAGAUAGCUGUAGUUUUAGGGUAAUUAGCUAAUAUGAUUGUUCUUAGUAAAAUUCAUAUUACUCAGUGUGUAUCUCUGGUUGACGCUCCAAGUGAGAGAGGCUUCGAGAUGUUGUGGUCAUAUCAGUUAUCAGAGAGGAAGAAAUAAAGCAAUAACUUACACUAGAAAAUCUUUGACAAUACCCAGUGUUGGUGUUUUUUUAAAUAGACUAGCUACAUACCGUCCUAUAGAGCUCUAACCUGUGGUUGGUGUCUAAAGUCACAGAGACAGCCAGGUAGAGCUGUGCAAAGAUGGAUGUCCAGUUGUCUAUCAGCUUCCUGAGGGACAGACUGGGUGGGGCCAUUGAGGAGGCAGUGCGUACAGCAGUGGAGUCUGUGCUGUGUGAGACUGUGCGUCUGUUAACCGGGCUCCAAGGGGACCAGCAGCAUGGACUUUCUUCAGUGACCCUGAGGGACCAGGACACCCUGGGACUGAAGCAGAGGUUAGAGGCCCCCAGCGGGGGUGACUGGAGGGUGCAGGCUGGGUCUUCAGGGGCAUUCUGUAACACAGGACCGAGGGGUAGUGGUGGGUGCAGCAACACUAAGAAUCCAAUGGGUCAGACUACUUGCUCAACCUCCCAAGCAUCACAAAGGACCACUGUGGAGCCCCAACCCCAAGAGGUGGUGGAGGACUGUGCUGGACUGCCUGACCCGUUUGACCUUGUGUCGGCUGGGCCAGUGAUGGUGGACUUUGAGGAGGGUCAGGGCAUGGGGAUCCCAGAGGAGUGGGAGCUGAUGAACAGAGUGUACAAGACAGAGCACAAUGAAGACAUGGCCCUUAUUGACGGGGGCGGUAGCACUCAAUUUGCAGAUGACCACAGGCUGCAUGAAGGAGACCAGAGGACUGUGGCUGUGCCCCUGGAAGGAGAGAUGGCUGCCAAGCCCCAGGACACAUUGCACCCCUGUUUCAGCCCAGCCAACAUCAAAACAGAGCGACCUGAGAUAGAGAGAUGCUGCAUGGCUGAGGAGGCCCUUGCUCUGCCUCUGCCUCAUCCUGCCAAUAGUGGUGUGGAGGCCGGUGACUUUGGGCAGGAGCAGGUGGAGGCUGGUCCACAGGACUUUGUAGGUCGCCUGCGCCUGUGGCUGGAGCAGCUAUGUCCUGAGGUGGUCCGGGAGUACGAGAGGGAGGGCUGUCUGUGUGAGCUGUCCCGCAGGAAGCUUAUCAAGUUCUCUGUGUCCUUCAUCGUGGAGGAGUUUGGAUUCUACCCUACCUCUGCUCAGAAGACCAUGCUGGCAGAGCACAUAGUGGAGCUCUUCCCAGGACUCAGGCUCUGUGCACCCUCUGCUGGCAUCAAUGGCAUAGAACACUUGUACGACCCUUUGUCCCGUACGGGUUACAUUGAGACGCGCCUGCGCAACUCUCGACGCACCCUUGAAGACCACAAGAAGAAGUAUGUGCUGAAGAGGCGUCGGCCAGAGCCAGGCCUAGCGGACCCUCCUGGACCUAGAUCGGGGCCUGGGCUCCUGGAGAGACAGUCCAGCGAGGAGACCCAGAGGUGGAUGGAGCUGAUGAAGAGAACCAGGCCCCUGACCAGGAACCUGCCUGCCAUCCACAGUGCUAUGGACCUCACAUUCAACGCACGCAGGAGAUGGAUCAGCAACACACGGCCUAGUAUGAGGGCUGUGCUGGCUGAGUACCCACGUUUUCUUGACGUUCCCGCCACGAUUGACCUGGAGUUUGAGAGGAUGUUCCCAGGUAAAGGCCACUCCUUCCUGGCCCAGUGGUCGUCGUUCGUGUUGCCCAGGGUGUACCAGAUUGCAGAGUGUGAAAAACACCCGGACAUCUCUGCACUUCUCCAACUGGCUGCCACACAGCAAGGAGACUCCUACACCCUGACUAUGCUGAAGGUCCUGAUCUAUGUACUAACAUCAACAAACACCAGUAGAGCCUCCUUACCCUCCAGGAGCAGUGUCAGGCAGGUCAUUCGGUAUCUGGUGGACAUUGUACCGAUAGACACCAUGGUGUCCUCCUUAUUCUGUGACCGUACCUCCUUGGAGGGCCCAGAGUCUGUGUCCCACGCUCAGCCCUACAUAUUGAGCGUGGGGCCCCUGGAGGCCCCUGGCCGGCAGCUUUGUAUCGUGUUCCCUGUUGAUAGGAUUGCAAUCCCCCUGCCUCAGGAGGGCCUGAGCAAUGCACUGGACAAGCUUUUCAAGCUUCUGCGUGUGUUUGAACUGGGGUACCCAGAUCAGCUAGCCUCCCUGUAUGGCUUCCUUGAGCACCUGUAUGGGCUGGAGAUGACCCCACAAGAUAACCAUGACUCCCCCAGUGGCAAGGGGUCAAAAGUGCUUGAACUUUUAUCACGGCUCCACAUGCCCUCCUGACAGAAGGCAUAGGUCUACACAAGAAUUGAACUCGCCCCACAGACUUACCUUUUAUUUUUUUGAUUGAUAUUUUAUUAUAGCCAUCCUUUACUAUGUUCUGGAUUUGCCCCAAAAUUAAAGUAUGUCGGACUGAACUGAACACUGGUGUUAUACCUUCAUUAUACCGUACCAGUCAAAAGUUUGGACACACCUAAUCAUUCAAGGGUUUUUCUUUAUUUUUACUAUUUUCUACAUUGGAUGUAUUCACUAUUAUUCUACAAACUAUGAAAUAACACGUAUGGCAUCAUGUAAUAAGGAAUUUCUUUCCUUAAUGCAUUUGAGCCAAUCAGUUGUGUUGUAGGGGUGGUAUACAGAAGAUAUACCUACUUGGUAAAAUACAAAGUCCAUAUUAUGGCAAGAAUAGCUCAAAUAAGCAAAGAGUUAGCAAAAAGAGAGUCCAUCAUUACUUUAAGACAUGAAGGUAGGUAAAUCUGGAAAAUGUAAAAAAAACGUUUAAAAUUACUUCAAGUGCAGUCACUAAAACCAUUAAGCGCUAUGAUGAAACUGGUUCUCAUGAGGACCGCCACAGGAAAGGAAGACCCAGAGUUACCUCUGCUGCAGAGGAUAAGUUCAUUAGAGUUACCAGCCUCAGAAAUUGCGGCCCAAAUAAAUGCUUCACAGAGUUCAAGUAACAGACAUCUCAACAUCAACUGUUCAGGGGAGACUGCGUGAAUCAGGCCUUCAUGGUCAAAUUGCUGCAAAUAAACCAGUACUAAAGGACACCAAUAAGGAGAAGAGACUUGCUUGUGCAAAGAAACACGAGCAAUGGACAUUAGACCGGUGGAAUUCUGUCCUUUGGUCUGAUGAGUCCGAAGUUGAGAUUUUUGGUUCCAACCGCCGUGUCUUUGUGAGACGCAGAGUAGGUGAACAGAUGAUCUUUGCAUGUGUGGUUCCCACCGUGAAACAUGGAGGUGGUGUGGUGGUGCUUUGCUGGUGACACUGUCAGUGCUUUAUUUAGAAUUCAAGGCACACUUAACCAGCAUGGCUACCACAGCAUUCUGCAGCGAUACAAGGGCUAUUUGACCAAGAAGGAGAGUGAUGUAGUGCUGCAUCAAAUGACCUGGCCUCCACAAUCACCGACCUCAACUCAAUUGAGAUGGUUUGGGAUGAGUUGGACCGCAGAGUGAAGAAAAAGCAGCCAACAAGUGCUCAGCAUAUGUGGGAACUCCUUCAAGACUGUUGGAAAAUCUUUCCUCAUGAAGCUGGUUGAGAGAAUGCCAAGAGUGUGCAAAGCUGUCGAGGCAAAGGGUGGCUACUUUGAAGAAUAUAAAAUAAACUUCCCUGUGGCUCAGUUGGUAGAGCAUGGUGUGUGCAACGCCAGGGUUGUGGGUUCGAUUCCCACGGGGGGCCAGUACCAAAAAAAAUAUAUUUUUUAAAUGCAUGAAAUAAAAUGUAUGCAUUCACUACUGUAAGUUGCUCUGGAUAAGAGCGUCUGCUAAAUAACUAAAAUGUAAAUGUUAACAAAUCCAAAAUUAUUUUAGCCUCUAUGGGCUAGGUGGGACGCUUGCGUCCCACCUACUCAACAGCCACUUUAAGCCUGUGGCGCGAUUUUCAAAACCUUAAAUCCGAUUACUUCAAUUUCUCAAACAUAUGACUAUUUUACAGCUAUUUAAAGACAAGACUCUCGUUAAUCUAACCACACUGUCCGAUUUCAAAAAGGCUUUACAACGAAAGCAAAACAUUAGAUUAUGUCAGCAGAGUACCAAGCCAGAAAUAAUCAGACACCCAUUUUUCAAGCCAGCAUAUAAUGUCACCAAAACCCAGAAGACAGCUAAAUGCAGCACUCACCUUUGAUGAUCUUCAUCAGAUGACAACCCUAGGACAUUAUGUUAUACAAUACAUGCAUGUUUUGUUCAAUCAAGUUCAUAUUUAUAUCAAAAACCAGCUUUUUACAUUAGCAUGUGACGUUCAGAACUAGCAUACCCCCGCAAACUUCCGGGGAAUUCGCUAACAUUUUACUAAAUUACUCACGAUAAACGUUCACAAAAAGCAUAACAAUUAUUUUAAGAAUUAUAGAUACAGACCUCCUCUAUGCACUCGAUAUGUCCGAUUUUAAAAUAGCUUUUUGGUGAAAGCACAUUUUGCAAUAUUCUAAGUACAUAGCCCAGGCAUCACGGGCUCGCUAUUUAGACACCCGGCAAGUUUAGCACUCACCAUAAUCAUAUUUACUAUUAUAAAAGUUUGAUUACCUUUUGUUGUCUUCGUCAGAAUGCACUCCCAGGACUGCUACUUCAAUAACAAAUGUUGGUUUAGUCCAAAAUAAUCCAUCGUUAUAUCCGAAUAGCG
Molecule: long non-coding RNA, 5436 nt
Filed under: Salmo salar (Atlantic salmon)
Lineage: Eukaryota; Metazoa; Chordata; Actinopteri; Salmoniformes; Salmonidae
Description: lncRNA (ENSSSAG00000086963.1)
Rfam family: UnaL2 LINE 3' element (bases 4546-4599)
Source: RNAcentral